UGGGGAAUUUUGGACAAUGGGCGCAAGCCUGAUCCAGCCAUUCCGCGUGAGUGAAGAAGGCCUUCGGGUUGUAAAGCUCUUUCGCAAGGGAAGAAAACUUAUCCUCUAACAUAGGAUGAGGUUGACGGUACCUUGAUAAGAAGCACCGGCUAACUACGUGCCAGCAGCCGCGGUAAUACGUAGGGUGCGAGCGUUAAUCGGAAUUACUGGGCGUAAAGCGUGCGCAGGCGGUUUUGUAAGUCAGAUGUGAAAUCCCUGGGCUCAACCUAGGAACUGCGUUUGAAACUGCAUAGCUAGAAUAUGUCAGAGGGGGGUAGAAUUCCACGUGUAGCAGUGAAAUGCGUAGAGAUGUGGAGGAAUACCAAUGGCGAAGGCAGCCCCCUGGGAUAAUAUUGACGCUCAUGCACGAAAGCGUGGGGAGCAAACAGGAUUAGAUACCCUGGUAGUCCACGCCCUAAACGAUGUCUACUAGUUGUUGGUGGAGUAAAAUCCAUGAGUAACGCAGCUAACGCGUGAAGUAGACCGCCUGGGGAGUACGGUCGCAAGAUUA
RNAcentral lists this ribosomal RNA (550 nucleotides) under uncultured Pseudomonadota bacterium. Its description in RNAcentral is "bacterial SSU rRNA". It matches the Rfam family "Bacterial small subunit ribosomal RNA", at positions 355 to 896 of the family's 1533-position model. Lineage: Bacteria; Pseudomonadati; Pseudomonadota. The record is from RNAcentral.